This 910-nucleotide ribosomal RNA is filed under the name uncultured bacterium. RNAcentral describes it as "bacterial SSU rRNA". It matches the Rfam family "Bacterial small subunit ribosomal RNA", at positions 33 to 924 of the family's 1533-position model. The record is from RNAcentral.
ACGCUGGCGGCGUGCCUAAUACAUGCAAGUCGAGCGAAGUUUUUCUGGUGCUUGCACUAGAAAAACUUAGCGGCGAACGGGUGAGUAACACGUAAAGAACCUGCCUCAUAGACUGGGACAACUAUUGGAAACGAUAGCUAAUACCGGAUAAUAGCAUUAGCUGCAUGGUUGAUGUUUGAAAGUUGGUUUUGCUAACACUAUGAGAUGGCUUUGCGGUGCAUUAGCUAGUUGGUGGGGUAAAGGCCUACCAAGGCGACGAUGCAUAGCCGACCUGAGAGGGUGAUCGGCCACACUGGGACUGAGACACGGCCCAGACUCCUACGGGAGGCAGCAGUAGGGAAUCUUCCGCAAUGGGCGAAAGCCUGACGGAGCAACGCCGCGUGAGUGAAGAAGGAUUUCGGUUCGUAAAGCUCUGUUGUUAGGGAAGAAUGAUUAUGUAGUAACUAUACAUAGUAGAGACGGUACCUAACCAGAAAGCCACGGCUAACUACGUGCCAGCAGCCGCGGUAAUACGUAGGUGGCAAGCGUUGUCCGGAAUUAUUGGGCGUAAAGCGCGCGCAGGUGGUUUAAUAAGUCUGAUGUGAAAGCCCACGGCUCAACCGUGGAGGGUCAUUGGAAACUGUUAAACUUGAGUGCAGGAGAGAAAAGUGGAAUUCCUAGUGUAGCGGUGAAAUGCGUAGAGAUUAGGAGGAACACCAGUGGCGAAGGCGGCUUUUUGGCCUGUAACUGACACUGAGGCGCGAAAGCGUGGGGAGCAAACAGGAUUAGAUACCCUGGUAGUCCACGCCGUAAACGAUGAGUGCUAAGUGUUGGUCUCAUAAGAGAUCAGUGCUGCAGCUAACGCAUUAAGCACUCCGCCUGGGGAGUACGACCGCAAGGUUGAAACUCAAAGGAAUUGACGGGGACCCGC